This 88-nucleotide transfer RNA is filed under the name Agaricus bisporus var. burnettii JB137-S8. It matches the Rfam family "tRNA". From Rfam's summary of the family: Transfer RNA (tRNA) molecules are approximately 80 nucleotides in length. Lineage: Eukaryota; Fungi; Basidiomycota; Agaricomycetes; Agaricales; Agaricaceae. The record is from Rfam by way of RNAcentral. RNAcentral also lists the same sequence under 1 other name.
GCCCGCCUAGCUCAAUCGGAUAGAGCGUCAGACUCUUAUCCUAUUAUUAGGCAUCUGAAGGCUGCGAGUUCGACCCUCGCGGUGGGCU